CAUUAAGGAUGCAGCUCAGGCAGUGCUUGUGGGAGGAGGAAGGAACCGGGGCAGGCAGGCGGAUGGCUGGGCGGGAGGCACUGCAGCACAGCCCAGCAGCCCCAGAGAGACUUUCAGAGGCUCUGCCCACAGGUACAGAGAGCUGAGCCCCUGUCCCCGAGCACCCCAGCCUCAGUCAGCAGCUUCCUCAUCUCUGCCCAGGACACCUACACCACCUGGCCUCUGAGCCUGGCUGAGCCAGAGAACUCAAAGCCUAGCUGGAAUGUUGCUGUUUUCGCAGAGAAAAAUCAAAGGAAAGGGAUUAUAAUUAUGGGUCAAGUCUUGAGCAGGAAGCAGUUGCGGGCGCUGGGGGCUCCCCUUGCUUGGGCGUCUUUUGUAUCAGCAAAGAGCCAGGCAUCCUAGAGGCGGGCUGAAAGGGACAUGACCAGGGUUUUUGCCUCUUCCCAUUUUCUCCCAUUUCUUGCCCUCAUCAAAUGCCGGGCUCCUGUUGUCUCUUGAAUUGUUCUCGGUGAAGCAAAUGCCUACAGCCAGGUAUGAAAUGCCCAGCUCAUCAGCCGCAGAGGACCCUGGGCCUCCUAGCCCCAGUGGCCCCCAACUUCCUUACGGGACUGGCAUGGACCAUCCCCACCCACCACCACCAUCCCCACCCCGAGAUUCUGGGCUAUCCAGAGACUCACAGUGGAGCACCAUUCAUUAGUCCUACCCAAGUCUCAGAAGUCCUUUUCCAACCUGGCCAGCUGGGAGAAGAAAAGAGAAAAGGAAGAGAGAGAGAGAGAAGGAAUAGCAGCCCUCGCUUUGAGCUGAAACUCUCCUUCCCUCCUUGCAAGCACAGCGACCUGCCCGACCCACAAAGUCUUCCGAGUUUCAUCCGCCUCCACGAACGCCAGACUUGAAAGUCCCACCUGAGGCUCAUGUUUUCAAAUCUCUUGGUUUUUUUUUUAACACAAACUUUCAGCAUCAACUUGAAGCUGCCAUUAAAAACCCCAGGCCUGGCGGUCCUGCAGUUGAGCAUUUCCACCUGGAUUUGAGUAAACAGCCAUGAAUAAUCCAGUGUUUCCUGCAGGGCCACAUGCCCUGUCCACCCCCCCCCCCCGCCCUCCCCCUCCCCAAGGGUCUGGGAGACCAGACCUUCCUGUCUCAAACCGCUGACUCAGAACAUGUGAGCUGGAGAGUGCCAUGGAGUCACUGCCUCUGAUGCCCUCCUGUGAUGGAGGAGGAGAAGAAAACCACCCAAGCUCAAAGGAGGGUGAGCAACAACCACCUACCUUCCCUACUCUUCACAAAACAGCCCGGCAGCUCCAGGGAUGGCCCAGCGCCGAGUUCCUACAGAACCAAGGGGAACCUGCAUGUUUACGGUCCUGGCCAGAAACAGCAAGGCCCUGCUCAGUACUGGCCCCAUGGGUGACCUCAACAAAGUGUUUUCCCUCCUUUGACCCUAAACCCACAUCUUUCUAAGGAGGAGGAUAGAGCAAGUGGCUGGCAGUGCCCUUUGCAGCUGGGAUGAGUUAGGACACAUUAACGGAACAAGUGCCACCCCACAGGAGGGUGGUUGGAAGCAUGUUGUCCCAAAUUCAAAUCUAGCUCUCCCAGUUAGGGAGUGGAUGAGCCAGGAUCAGUCACUCCGCUUCACUGAGCCAGGGUUUCUGCACUGAAAUCAGGGGUAACAAGAGCCCACCUGAUGGAACUGUGGGAUCCAAUGAGCUGGUUCAUGCAAAAUGCUCAGCACAGAGCAAGGGACACACUCCCACACUCAGGCACUGGGGCCACCCCUGGAGCAUGUUAAAAGGCUGACUGUCUGCAGAGGUGGAGGCAGGAUGUGGGGGGAGGAGAGAGGAAGACACUGGAGGCCCCAAG
Molecule: long non-coding RNA, 1854 nt
Organism: Bos taurus (domestic cattle)
Lineage: Eukaryota; Metazoa; Chordata; Mammalia; Artiodactyla; Bovidae
Source: Ensembl